RNAcentral lists this ribosomal RNA (435 nucleotides) under uncultured bacterium. RNAcentral describes it as "bacterial SSU rRNA". It matches the Rfam family "Bacterial small subunit ribosomal RNA", at positions 43 to 523 of the family's 1533-position model. The record is from RNAcentral.
CAGGCCUAACACAUGCAAGUCGAGCGGGCACUUCGGUGUCAGCGGCGGACGGGUGAGUAACGCGUGGGAACGUGCCUUCUGGUUCGGAAUAACUCAGGGAAACUUGAGCUAAUACCGGAUACGCCCUUAUGGGGAAAGGCUUGACUGCCGAAGGAUCGGCCCGCGUCUGAUUAGCUAGUUGGUGAGGUUAUGGCUCACCAAGGCGACGAUCAGUAGCUGGUCUGAGAGGAUGAUCAGCCACACUGGGACUGAGACACGGCCCAGACUCCUACGGGAGGCAGCAGUGGGGAAUAUUGGACAAUGGGGGCAACCCUGAUCCAGCCAUGCCGCGUGAGUGAUGACGGCCUUAGGGUUGUAAAGCUCUUUUCUCCGGGACGAUAAUGACGGUACCGGAGGAAUAAGCCCCGGCUAACUUCGUGCCAGCAGCCGCGGUAA